RNAcentral lists this ribosomal RNA (433 nucleotides) under uncultured bacterium. RNAcentral's name for it is "partial 16S ribosomal RNA". It matches the Rfam family "Bacterial small subunit ribosomal RNA", at positions 29 to 507 of the family's 1533-position model. The record is from RNAcentral.
AACGAACGCUGGCGGCAUGCCUAACACAUGCAAGUCGAACGAAGGCUUCGGCCUUAGUGGCGCACGGGUGCGUAACGCGUGGGAAUCUGCCCUUUGGUUCGGAAUAACAGCUGGAAACGGCUGCUAAUACCGGAUGAUGACGAAAGUCCAAAGAUUUAUCGCCAGAGGAUGAGCCCGCGUUGGAUUAGGUAGUUGGUGGGGUAAGGGCCUACCAAGCCGACGAUCCAUAGCUGGUCUGAGAGGAUGAUCAGCCACACUGGGACUGAGACACGGCCCAGACUCCUACGGGAAGCAGCAGUGGGGAAUAUUGGACAAUGGGCGCAAGCCUGAUCCAGCAAUGCCGCGUGAGUGAUGAAGGCCCUAGGGUUGUAAAGCUCUUUUACCCGGGAAGAUAAUGACUGUACCGGGAGAAUAAGCCCCGGCUAACUCCGUG